RNAcentral lists this transfer RNA (47 nucleotides) under Polystichum moupinense. Its description in RNAcentral is "partial tRNA-Leu". Lineage: Eukaryota; Viridiplantae; Streptophyta; Polypodiopsida; Polypodiales; Dryopteridaceae. The record is from RNAcentral. RNAcentral also lists the same sequence under 1 other name.
AACGAGACAAUUUAGUUAACUCAUUUUCAGGUUACCUGGAUCCACAU